AUGAAAGCGGGCACGAGUCUCCUCCCUUCCUGCCACCUUCCGGGUCAUUCCUUUCCUUGGCGCCCCCUCCUCCGCGCGUCCUCUCGCCGAUCCCACGCGGUCCGGUCGCCGGUCGUCGCCCGCCUAUACUUGAGGAUAUAUAUUUAUCCCGCGCGCGCCAUUCGCGGCCGCCCCGGCGAUCUGCCACCGCUCGUGUUCGGUAUUUCUUUGGGGCGGAGGAGGGCUGUCAUGGGGGAGCCGGUGGAGGCAGAGGCGCCGGCCGCGUCGUCGACCACGGUGGAGAUGGAGGCCGCGGAGCAGCUCAUCCAGCUCAGCGGCGGCGGCUGCGACGACGACGGCGCUGAGUCGGAGAGCAAGAGCGCGGACAGCGUCAGGGCAGCCGGCGAGAAGGGGCCGGCCGUGGUGAGCAAGAGCGCGGACAGCGUCAAGGCAGCUGGCGAGAAGGCGCGGGCCGUGGAGAGCAAGAGCGCGGAGAGCGUCAUGGCAGCCGGCGAGAAGCGGGGAGAUGGUAAAGAGGGGGUGCCCGCCGUGGAGAGCAGCACCGGGAAGAGACGCGAGAAACUCGGUGGGCCCAAGGGUGGCGGACAAGACGAGGAGGCCGUCAUCGGCGGGGUCGCGAGGAGGAGGCCGAGGUUCCGGUCGCUGGCGGCGAUAUACAGGAACACGAGGAGGAUGGACGACCACGGGCACUGGCGCGAGGAGCCGGAAGAGGAAGAGAUGGGUGAGGGGAAGGGGGAGAAAAAGAAGACAAGGGCGAUGGGUGGAGCGGCCGCCGACGACGGCGAGGCGAUCCCCGCGACGGCGCCGUGCAAGGCCAAGGCCAAGAGAGCGGUACGCCCAAGAACUAGCUAG
RNAcentral lists this ribosomal RNA (852 nucleotides) under Triticum aestivum (bread wheat). RNAcentral's name for it is "partial small subunit ribosomal RNA". The record is from RNAcentral. Lineage: Eukaryota; Viridiplantae; Streptophyta; Magnoliopsida; Poales; Poaceae.